CGCUCUUUGAAACACAAAAAUAAAGAGUCGUGCCUGCCCAGUGAUAAUUUUAAACGGCCGCAGUACCCUGACUGUGCUAAGGUAGCAUAAUCACUUGCUCUUUAAUUGAGAGCUAGAAUGAAUGGCUUGACGAAAACAUUACUGUCUCUUUUACAUUAACUAAAAAUUAAUCUUUAGAUGAAAAAGUCUAAAUAACUUCAAAAGACGAAAAGACCCUAUCGAGCUUAAAAACAAUUUUAAUUCUAACCUACUAGAUAAAACAAAAUUAAAACAUAAUUUUUUGUUGGGGCGACAGAAGAACAUUCAAAGCUUCUUUUAAUUUAAUAAACUAAUAAGUUUAAAAGAUCCAUUAAUAUUGACUAAAAGAAAAGUUACCGUAGGGAUAACAGCGUAAUUUCUUUAGAGAGCUCAAAUUGAAAAAGAAGUUUGCGACCUCGAUGUUGGAUUAAAAAAUCUUUUUGAUGCAGCAGUCAAAAAAGAAGGUCUGUUCGACCUUUAAAAUUUU
Molecule: ribosomal RNA, 505 nt
Filed under: Acanthochitona rubrolineata
Lineage: Eukaryota; Metazoa; Mollusca; Polyplacophora; Chitonida; Acanthochitonidae
Description: partial 16S ribosomal RNA
Rfam family: Bacterial large subunit ribosomal RNA
Source: RNAcentral